GACGAACGCUGGCGGCGUGCCUUACACAUGCAAGUCGAACGGGGGUAGCAAUACCCUAGUGGCGGACGGGUGAGUAAUGUAUCGGAACGUGCCCUUGAGUGGGGGAUAACCAGUCGAAAGAUUGGCUAAUACCGCAUACGAUCUACGGAUGAAGGUGGGGGACCUUAGGGCCUCAUGCUCGUGGAGCGGCCGAUAUCUGAUUAGCUAGUUGGUGGGGUAAAGGCCUACCAAGGCGACGAUCAGUAGCUGGUCUGAGAGGACGAUCAGCCACACGGGGACUGAGACACGGCCCAGACUCCUACGGGAGGCAGCAGUGGGGAAUUUUGGACAAUGGGGGAAACCCUGAUCCAGCGAUGCCGCGUGAGUGAAGAAGGCCUUCGGGUUGUAAAGCUCUUUUGUCAGGGAAGAAGAUGCUAUGGCUAAUAUCCAUGGUUGAUGACGGUACCUGAAGAAUAAGCACCGGCUAACUACGUGCCAGCCGCCGCAGUAA
Molecule: ribosomal RNA, 490 nt
Filed under: uncultured bacterium
Lineage: Bacteria
Description: partial 16S ribosomal RNA
Rfam family: Bacterial small subunit ribosomal RNA
Source: RNAcentral